This is a long non-coding RNA of Vigna unguiculata (cowpea), 1019 nucleotides long. RefSeq lists it as uncharacterized. NCBI's taxonomy places the organism in Eukaryota, Viridiplantae, Streptophyta, Magnoliopsida, Fabales, Fabaceae. The record is from RefSeq and is a predicted model, not a curated record.
GGAUUUUUCCGAAAAACUUACCUCUGAAUCUUUCUUUACCUCUAUUUUCCUCUAGACUCUUCCUGUACUGGCUUUUGAAUUUGAAAUAAAAGCUCGAAAUAAUAUUCAACUGGUAUCAGAGCUUGGUUACGAUCCAAGGAUCUGUGGGUUAUGGGCCCACCACGGUUCCUAUUCCUCUUCUUCUUCUUUUCUUCUUCUUGAUUGGAUUUAUCCUAAGUGUAAUACGCAGCGUGGAAUUUAAGGGCGUCAAACCAUUGGGAAAAGAUAAACCUGAAGAAAUUCGCAUGGAAUGGGCAAGAUAAAUUUUUAGGUGAAAACAUUAGUUUUCAUAGCCAUUAGGAAUCUUUUAAUUGGAUGUUUAAGUAUUUUGUAGCCUUAACAUUUAGCCUAAUAGUUUUGAUUGGCUUUAGUACUUUAUUGUACGUUAGGAUAAUACAAUUAUUGUCUAGAAUCUGGAAUGUAUUAGUCUUUUGUAGGUUAUUUGAUAGGUCUAACCCAAACCAAUAUUUAAAAAUAAACCACAUCCUAUUACAUUGGUCGUUACAUACACAAACCAAUAAGUAAUAUACACGUUUUGCACACUGCCAAGAGAUAUUACAUCGGUUCAUACACUAACCGAUGUAAUAUCUCCCCACCUUUUGAUAACUUAUUUUUUUUCAAUAUUACAACAGUUCGAGUUUAAACGAAGUUAUAUGUUAAAGCUAUAUAUCGGUUUGUAGAAUUGAUGUAAUAUAUCACAUAUUUUUUACAUCGUCUAAUAUAACAUCAGUGAAAAAAUCGAUGUAAUAAUAGGGACCAAAUAAUCGAUGUAGUAUCACUUUUCUAGUGACUAAUAAAUAUUUAAAGUUUAGACUUUUAUAUCCGGAACUGGGUUUGUACCCAAUGUUGUGCCUUAAAUCAAUAUGAUGUAAAGUUGGAAGGUUAUAGAGGGAUAUUUCCUGUAAUUGCUUUAAGCACAUUGAACUUAUUAUUUGAACAGUGAGCGUAUUUAAUAUUUUGACUAACAUAUGAUAUUGAUU